This 725-nucleotide ribosomal RNA is filed under the name Klebsiella oxytoca. Its description in RNAcentral is "bacterial SSU rRNA". It matches the Rfam family "Bacterial small subunit ribosomal RNA", at positions 63 to 770 of the family's 1533-position model. Lineage: Bacteria; Pseudomonadati; Pseudomonadota; Gammaproteobacteria; Enterobacterales; Enterobacteriaceae. The record is from RNAcentral.
CGUGCGGUNACCGAAGUCACCCAAUAGCUUGCUCUCGCGGUGACGAGUGGCGGACGGGUGAGUAAUGUCUGGGAAACUGCCUGAUGGAGGGGGAUAACUACUGGAAACGGUAGCUAAUACCGCAUAACGUCGCAAGACCAAAGAGGGGGACCUUCGGGCCUCUUGCCAUCAGAUGUGCCCAGAUGGGAUUAGCUAGUAGGUGGGGUAACGGCUCACCUAGGCGACGAUCCCUAGCUGGUCUGAGAGGAUGACCAGCCACACUGGAACUGAGACACGGUCCAGACUCCUACGGGAGGCAGCAGUGGGGAAUAUUGCACAAUGGGCGCAAGCCUGAUGCAGCCAUGCCGCGUGUAUGAAGAAGGCCUUCGGGUUGUAAAGUACUUUCAGCGGGGAGGAAGGCGUUGAGGUUAAUAACCUUGUCGAUUGACGUUACCCGCAGAAGAAGCACCGGCUAACUCCGUGCCAGCAGCCGCGGUAAUACGGAGGGUGCAAGCGUUAAUCGGAAUUACUGGGCGUAAAGCGCACGCAGGCGGUCUGUCAAGUCGGAUGUGAAAUCCCCGGGCUCAACCUGGGAACUGCAUUCGAAACUGGCAGGCUGGAGUCUUGUAGAGGGGGGUAGAAUUCCAGGUGUAGCGGUGAAAUGCGUAGAGAUCUGGAGGAAUACCGGUGGCGAAGGCGGCCCCCUGGACAAAGACUGACGCUCAGGUGCGAAAGCGUGGGGAGCA